Molecule: long non-coding RNA, 1750 nt
Filed under: Brassica napus (rape)
Lineage: Eukaryota; Viridiplantae; Streptophyta; Magnoliopsida; Brassicales; Brassicaceae
Description: long non-coding RNA (BNAP_LNC007208)
Source: RNAcentral
GAAAGAGAGUUUUUAAUUAACUUGCCAUCACUAAAGCAAAGAUAAAUAAAUAAAGCAGCAAAGGCAUAUAUGAAUACAACAAAACUUAUCCACCCUCUCUACCCCUCUUGAAGAACCCCUAGCCUCCAUCAUCGUCCGCUCCGGCUCGGCGGCGUUUUUUGCCGGUGCCGGAGGCCCUCUCUCCCUUCCUUCCUCUUUUUUUUUCCUUUGCUCUCCUAUACACCUCUUUCUCCCCUUCCGAUAUGCUCUCUACUCUGUCUUCGCUGGAAUCCUAACGCCGGAAUCUGCUCGCGAGGAUUCAAGGCCUCCAGUGACCGACGGAUAUGGAGUAGAGGCGAGGUAGUUGGAGCACUGGGUGUUGAGAGAGUCGGCGUUUAGGAUCGACGGCUCGCCAGAUCUAUUUUCCCUUCAGAUCCACGGCGGUGCUUUCACGACGGCGGCGCGUGACUCGCUCAGGAGCCUCCUCCACCUAGGACCUUUCGUUUUCUAAAGCGAUGAGGGAUUUUCGUAGGAGUGGACUUCGGUUAGAGAGCUUUGUGCUCUGAUGGGGAAUUUAUGUUUCCCUCGACCCUUGUUCGGGAUGGUCUCCGUUGGUCAUGCCUAUGGAGACGCGUGCAGGAGCGUUUGGUCGGCGUGUGUUGACAGCGUACCCCUGAGGACGGCGCGUGCAGUUCAAGCGACUGAAGUUGGGGUCUGAGUCGUCUAUGGCUCGAUCCUGUUCUGAAGAUUGAUUCACCAUCUCUGGUUUCCUCCGGUCACGGUAUCAUCAUUUUACUCCUUGCUAUAAAACCACGGUGUUGGCAAACCAGCAGGAGAGAGCUUCCUUUUCCCAGUGCGUUUUUCAAGCCUAUAUUCACCUUAGGGUGUUUUGGAAGACAUGAGCUUUAGUUGCCGGUUCUCGGCGAUAACAUAUGGCAAGCUCUUACAUCUCAGGAGUUGUCAACCGGAGGUGUAGAGUAUGACAACCCAUAUGGUGAAGUCCCAACAUCCCAGCGCCGGUUUUGGCCCUUGCGCUAACUGGUGGUUGAGCUUUACACUUUUUGUCUUGUGGACUCUGCUGAAAUGAUGAUACGGCUGUCGCCAAGGUCCGAAUUUUGAUCCGCAGUUCUCUUUUGUGCCUCAAGUUCAGAGACAGGGAUCUCCUUUGGAUGAGUGUUCAGUCGGGACAAUGCACUCCGGUGUUGUUGCUUAUGGGCCAUGGUUUUCACUCUAAUUUUGCGGAGCCCAAAAGCUUGUAGCUAAGAGAAUGUCUUGAAUGACAACCAGAUGCCACAGGUUGAUGUCCUAUCUCUCGAAACUAUUGGCAACGAACUCCGGAUCCUUUGCAAGAUGCAAAGUCUAAGCUCUUAGGACUCUGAUUGCCUUGUCUAAGAAGUUGCGCCAGUUUGGUGUUGAUGCAGUUGGUCUUGCGCUCCACUCAAAUCCCACGGUACCAACAGCUCCGGGCUUCAAUAUGAGUUUCUCUGAUAGGAUACUUGGAGAUCUAAGAUAGCUUAGGGCCAGCUUUGCAUUCUUGUUUAUAGUGGUAGAAUUAGUGUGGUGUAAGGGACGGUUCAUUUCGAGUCGUGGAAUGAACUCGUUCUCGUUUGUGGUCAAAGAGUACAACAAUGUAUGAUUGGGUAGCGUAGGAUCCAUCGAUGUGUUCCUAGGUGGUACUAGAUCGCUUUGUUGUCUUUGUGGUUGAAAUCUAUUUAGGUCAAAAUCAUUGUAAACUCUAUAUUGGUUAAUGAAAGUUGAAGUUGAGCCAAAA